This 468-nucleotide ribosomal RNA is filed under the name uncultured bacterium. RNAcentral's name for it is "partial 16S ribosomal RNA". It matches the Rfam family "Bacterial small subunit ribosomal RNA", at positions 28 to 507 of the family's 1533-position model. The record is from RNAcentral.
GACGAACGCUGGCGGCGUGCUUAACACAUGCAAGUCGAACGGAAAGGCCCUGCUUUUGUGGGGUGCUCGAGUGGCGAACGGGUGAGUAACACGUGAGUAACCUGCCCUUGACUUUGGGAUAACUUCAGGAAACUGGGGCUAAUACCGGAUAGGAGCUCCUGCUGCAUGGUGGGGGUUGGAAAGUUUCGGCUGUUGGGGAUGGACUCGCGGCUUAUCCGCUUGUUGGUGGGGUAGUGGCGUACCAAGGCUUUGACGGGUAGCCGGCCUGAGAGGGUGACCGGCCACAUUGGGCCUACGAGACGGCGCAGUAUCGUACGGGACGCAGCAGUGGGGAAUCUUGCACAAUGGGCGGAAGCCAGAUGCAGCGACGCCGCGUGCGGGAUGACGGCCUUCGAGUUGUAAACCGAUUUCGCCUGUGACGAAGCGUGCGUGACGGUAAUGGGUAAAGAAGCCCCGGCUAACUACGUG